This 137-nucleotide ribosomal RNA is filed under the name uncultured bacterium. Its description in RNAcentral is "partial 16S ribosomal RNA". It matches the Rfam family "Bacterial small subunit ribosomal RNA", at positions 355 to 509 of the family's 1533-position model. The record is from RNAcentral.
UGGGGAAUAUUGCACAAUGGGGGGAACCCUGAUGCAGCGAUGCCGCGUGGAGGAAGAAGGUUUUCGGAUUGUAAACUCCUGUCGUAAGGGAAGAAAAGGACGGUACCUUACAAGAAAGCUCCGGCUAACUACGUGCC